AUGAGGAAGCAUGUCUGCCUGUUAAUUGUCUAUCGCAUUUUCUAUUUUCUUCUUUAUCCUAGGUUGUAGCAGCAACCUUCCCUCUGGUUAAAUUGGAAGAAAGUGGCUGGAGAGAGCUCAGAUACAGAGCUGAAAACAAAGACAUCCAAACCUUGAGCGAUUUAGAAGAGGAAGAAGCCAAAUUCUGUGCCAAAGGUUUGACUGCUGGGUUUACUCAUGGCUUCAGAUGAAGAGAAGCCCUGUACAAUAGCAUGGAGACCCUGAGGAUUGGAGAUAAUUUUUCUCCUUAUGCAUUUUUCCCUUCUUUGCAGGU
Pezoporus occidentalis (night parrot) is the source of this 313-nucleotide long non-coding RNA. RefSeq lists it as uncharacterized. Lineage: Eukaryota; Metazoa; Chordata; Aves; Psittaciformes; Psittacidae. The record is from RefSeq and is a predicted model, not a curated record. The transcript has 3 exons.